RNAcentral lists this ribosomal RNA (198 nucleotides) under Xenopus borealis (Kenyan clawed frog). The record is from RNAcentral. Lineage: Eukaryota; Metazoa; Chordata; Amphibia; Anura; Pipidae.
GCCUACGGCCACACCCCCCUGAAAGUGCCCGAUCUCGUCUGAUCUCGGAAGCGAUGCAAGGUCGGGCCUGGUUAGUACCUGGAUGGGAGACCGCCUGGGAAUACCAGGUGUCGUAGGCUUUUAGACUUUUGCCAGGUCAAAGUUUUGCAGGGUUUUUCUUCAAAGUCUUCAUAGAAGCGUCAAAAGUCAGCAAACCUA